Lactuca sativa (garden lettuce) is the source of this 1446-nucleotide non-coding RNA. Lineage: Eukaryota; Viridiplantae; Streptophyta; Magnoliopsida; Asterales; Asteraceae. The record is from RefSeq and is a predicted model, not a curated record.
ACGCCUGGACUCAAAUUCCUUGGAUGGGAUAGUGCCUCAAAACAUCACGAAUCUCAAAAGUGUUAGUAAGCUAUACUUGUUGAACAACAAACUGAGUGGACAUGUUCCAAAUCUCACAGGAAUGGUUUCCCUCUUUUAUGUGGACAUGAGCAAUAAUAGUUUGAUGCAUCAGAUAUUCCAACAUGGUUCACAGAACUUCCAUCUUUAACAACAUUAUUAAUGGAGAAGACUCAACUUCAAGGAGAAAUCCCAUCAACUCUCUUCCAACCUCAGUUGGAAAAAAUUGGUGCUAAGCAACAAUGGUCUUAACGGAAUACUAGACGUGAGAAACACCUAUAGCAGUGAAUUGAAUGUUGAUUUGACAAACAAUUCAAUUGUUGACUUCACUCAAAAAUCUGUAUAUAAUAUGAGCUUAAAUCUUGCAAGUAAUCUAGUUUGUGAAGGAGGAGCAACAGGAAGAUAUUGUGCAACUGGAAAGACCAAUAUAGCAAGCCGUUUACCAUCAAAUAGUUGUAUUAAUCCUAUAGCAAGGUACGUGUAUAAAUUGUGAAAAUGGGAUGCCUAUUUCUAUUUUGAAGAGACAUGUAGGUGUUGUUUCUGCCAUUACGUUUAUCCGAGGCAUAGUUCUGUUUUCUAGCUUUUAUACAAAACGAACAAAUUUGCCCUCAUUUGACUUUCUCAUUAAUUAUAACUACAUAAUAUAUACAAUCUAAACUAAUUGUUCUUAACCUUGGGAGUCUGUGUAUUUAUAAAAGUAUGCUUUAUUGUAACAUAAAUCCUAUUUAUAGUUGGUAUCUCUUUACUUGUCUUAUAUUUUGACUUAUUUUGUGGUUCUCUUUGAGGCAUUAUCUGACUCAUGUGUUCUUUUUUGGUAGCCAUGGAUGAGAGAUUGAGCUCUUAUGCCCUUAUUGCACGAGUUGGUGUUGAAGUUACAAUCCCUUUGUCAUGUUACACCUUCUUUCUUCUUUUCCCAUUAACUGUUGUGGUCCCUGUAUGGAUAAAAUAAUAAUGGCAAAAAUUGAAGAAAAAAAACAAGUAGACAUUUUCUGUAUUAAGAAAGUCAAACCAAAACAACACAUGAAUUGGAGAUUUUCUUUUUUACUUAUUUAUAUUUGUUUGUAUAUUAUUGCAGUUGAGUUUAACUGAUGGAGAAGAGUUGAAGUCGAGUACGAAGUAGAUGGUUGGUUCUAUGUGAAGAGCCUUUGGCACAAAAGUUGACGAUCACUGAUGAGGGAGGUUUGAAAAUACUCUUCUAUAGGGGAAAGGAAAGUGAAGAGGAAGCAAUGAAAAAACAAACAUUAAAAAGGAGAAGGAAUGUUCAUUUGACUUUUCAUUUCUUAGAUGUAAGUUAAUUUAUAUAAUUUAGUUUUAAGUUAUCAUACAACUUUAUUUACAAUAAUUGUAUUGUACAAAGAAGGAAUGUUCAUUUGACAUAAUAUUGCAAUA